RNAcentral lists this ribosomal RNA (1232 nucleotides) under metagenome. RNAcentral's name for it is "bacterial SSU rRNA". It matches the Rfam family "Bacterial small subunit ribosomal RNA", at positions 242 to 1499 of the family's 1533-position model. The record is from RNAcentral.
UAGCUAGUUGGUGAGGUAAUGGCCCACCAAGGCGACGAUCGGUAGCCGGACUGAGAGGUUGAACGGCCACAUUGGGACUGAGACACGGCCCAGACUCCUACGGGAGGCAGCAGUGGGGAAUAUUGCACAAUGGGGGAAACCCUGAUGCAGCGACGCCGCGUGGAGGAAGAAGGUCUUCGGAUUGUAAACUCCUGUUGUUGAGGAAGAUAAUGACGGUACUCAACAAGGAAGUGACGGCUAACUACGUGCCAGCAGCCGCGGUAAAACGUAGGUCACAAGCGUUGUCCGGAAUUACUGGGUGUAAAGGGAGCGCAGGCGGGAAGACAAGUUGGAAGUGAAAUCUAUGGGCUCAACCCAUAAACUGCUCUCAAAACUGUUUUUCUUGAGUAGUGCAGAGGUAGGCGGAAUUCCCGGUGUAGCGGUGGAAUGCGUAGAUAUCGGGAGGAACACCAGUGGCGAAGGCGGCCUACUGGGCACCAACUGACGCUGAGGCUCGAAAGUGUGGGUAGCAAACAGGAUUAGAUACCCUGGUAGUCCACACCGUAAACGAUGAUUACUAGGUGUUGGAGGAUUGACCCCUUCAGUGCCGCAGUUAACACAAUAAGUAAUCCACCUGGGGAGUACGACCGCAAGGUUGAAACUCAAAGGAAUUGACGGGGGCCCGCACAAGCAGUGGAGUAUGUGGUUUAAUUCGACGCAACGCGAAGAACCUUACCAAGUCUUGACAUCCUGCGACGGACAUAGAAAUAUGUCUUUCCUUCGGGACGCAGAGACAGGUGGUGCAUGGUUGUCGUCAGCUCGUGUCGUGAGAUGUUGGGUUAAGUCCCGCAACGAGCGCAACCCUUAUGGUCAGUUACUACGCAAGAGGACUCUGGCCAGACUGCCGUUGACAAAACGGAGGAAGGUGGGGAUGACGUCAAAUCAUCAUGCCCUUUAUGACUUGGGCUACACACGUACUACAAUGGCGUUAAACAAAGAGAAGCAAGACCGCGAGGUGGAGCAAAACUCAGAAACAACGUCCCAGUUCGGACUGCAGGCUGCAACUCGCCUGCACGAAGUCGGAAUUGCUAGUAAUCGCAGAUCAGCAUGCUGCGGUGAAUACGUUCCCGGGCCUUGUACACACCGCCCGUCACACCAUGAGAGCCGGGGGGACCCGAAGUCGGUAGUCUAACCGCAAGGAGGACGCCGCCGAAGAUAAAACUGGUGAUUGGGGUGAAGUCGUAACAAGGUAA